Molecule: long non-coding RNA, 419 nt
Organism: Amphimedon queenslandica
Lineage: Eukaryota; Metazoa; Porifera; Demospongiae; Haplosclerida; Niphatidae
Exons: 4
Source: RefSeq, a predicted model, not a curated record
UGAAAGGGUCACGUGGUGACGAAGGACACUAGGACCACCUGGUAGAAAAGGAUUGCCUGGACCACCAGGAGAGAUAGGAGAUAAAGGUUCACCUGGACCAAUAGGUGACAAAGGUGAUAUUGGUCCACCAGGAGAAAAGGGGAACAAUGGAACUAGAGGAGAUAAAGGAAGUAAAGGAAUGGAAGGUGACCGUGGACCAAAGGGAGAGAGGGGUGGGAAAGGAGAUCCAGGUAUUGAUGGUAUUAAUGGCACCAGAGGACCUCCUGGCAUCGAUGGAAUGGAUGGUCAAGAUGGAGAGAAAGGUAAUCAAGGUUUGCAAGGUAGACGUGGUAAACCAGGCCUCCCUGGUGAUGUGGGAAGAACUGGACCUCCAGGUGUUAAUGGAACAAGUGGUCCUAGAGGAUUACCUGGGAAAAUGG